UUGCUAUCUGCGAUAUAAAAGAUUCGAACCUGCCGCAGGUUCGGGUCUCACGAAGUGAGACAACGGAGCCGCUUGCGGCGACGGCCCGAAGGGCGAGCGAAGCGAGUCAUCCUGCACGACCCACCA
Molecule: small RNA, 126 nt
Filed under: Atlantibacter hermannii
Lineage: Bacteria; Pseudomonadati; Pseudomonadota; Gammaproteobacteria; Enterobacterales; Enterobacteriaceae
Description: RtT sRNA
Rfam family: RtT RNA
About the family: This family represents a bacterial cis-regulatory element known as RtT RNA. The exact function of RtT is unknown although it is thought that it may be involved in changing the cellular response in relation to amino acid starvation.
Source: RNAcentral